UGGCGACCGGCGCACGGGUGAGUAACACGUAUCCAACCUGCCGAUGACUCGGGGAUAGCCUUUCGAAAGAAAGAUUAAUACCCGAUGGCAUAGUUCUUCCGCAUGGUAGAACUAUUAAAGAAUUUCGGUCAUCGAUGGGGAUGCGUUCCAUUAGGUUGUUGGCGGGGUAACGGCCCACCAAGCCUUCGAUGGAUAGGGGUUCUGAGAGGAAGGUCCCCCACAUUGGAGCUGAGACACGGUCCAA
RNAcentral lists this ribosomal RNA (244 nucleotides) under uncultured bacterium. RNAcentral's name for it is "partial 16S ribosomal RNA". It matches the Rfam family "Bacterial small subunit ribosomal RNA", at positions 89 to 334 of the family's 1533-position model. The record is from RNAcentral.